RNAcentral lists this ribosomal RNA (239 nucleotides) under uncultured Burkholderiales bacterium. RNAcentral's name for it is "partial 16S ribosomal RNA". It matches the Rfam family "Bacterial small subunit ribosomal RNA", at positions 92 to 334 of the family's 1533-position model. The record is from RNAcentral. Lineage: Bacteria; Pseudomonadati; Pseudomonadota; Betaproteobacteria; Burkholderiales.
CGAGUGGCGAACGGGUGAGUAAUAUAUCGGAACGUGCCCAUUAGUGGGGGAUAGCCCGGCGAAAGCCGGAUUAAUACCGCAUACGACCUGAGGGUGAAAGCGGGGGAUCGCAAGACCUCGCGCUAUUGGAGCGGCCGAUAUCAGAUUAGCUAGUUGGUGGGGUAAAGGCCUACCAAGGCAACGAUCUGUAGUUGGUCUGGGAGGACGACCAGCCACACUGGGACUGAGACACGGCCCAG